RNAcentral lists this ribosomal RNA (484 nucleotides) under uncultured bacterium. Its description in RNAcentral is "bacterial SSU rRNA". It matches the Rfam family "Bacterial small subunit ribosomal RNA", at positions 28 to 511 of the family's 1533-position model. The record is from RNAcentral.
GAUGAACGCUAGCGGCAGGCUUAACACAUGCAAGUCGAGGGGUAGAAGGAGCUUGCUCCUUUGAGACCGGCGCACGGGUGCGUAACGCGUAUGCAAUCUGCCUUUUGCAGAGGGAUAGCCCAGAGAAAUUUGGAUUAAUACCUCAUAGUAUGUGAGGAUGGCAUCAUUUUCACAUUAAAGUCACAACGGCAAAAGAUGAGCAUGCGUCCCAUUAGCUAGUUGGUAAGGUAACGGCUUACCAAGGCUACGAUGGGUAGGGGUCCUGAGAGGGAGAUCCCCCCACACUGGUACUGAGACACGGACCAGACUCCUACGGGAGGCAGCAGUGAGGAAUAUUGGACAAUGGGCGCAAGCCUGAACCAGCCAUGCCGCGUGCAGGAUGAAGGCCCUCGGGUUGUAAACUGCUUUUGUACGAGAAGAAACAACAUUACGUGUAAUGUCUUGACGGUAUCGUAAGAAUAAGGAUCGGCUAACUCCGUGCCAG